RNAcentral lists this transfer RNA (69 nucleotides) under Ictidomys tridecemlineatus (thirteen-lined ground squirrel). RNAcentral's name for it is "Spermophilus tridecemlineatus (thirteen-lined ground squirrel) tRNA". It matches the Rfam family "tRNA". From Rfam's summary of the family: Transfer RNA (tRNA) molecules are approximately 80 nucleotides in length. The record is from Rfam by way of RNAcentral. Lineage: Eukaryota; Metazoa; Chordata; Mammalia; Rodentia; Sciuridae.
GGGACUGCAGCUCAGUGGCAGAGCACUUGCCUAGCAAGCAUGAGGCACUGGGUUUGAUCCUCAGCACCA